AUAGAAAUCAUCUAAGGAUUUUGUUAAAAAUGCAAAUUCUGACUCAGUCAGAAUAGAUUUGGUAUGGGGAAUAGGAUUCUGUAGUUCUAACAAACUCCCAGGUGACACUGAU
RNAcentral lists this microRNA precursor (112 nucleotides) under Marmota monax (woodchuck). The record is from RNAcentral. Lineage: Eukaryota; Metazoa; Chordata; Mammalia; Rodentia; Sciuridae.